This is a non-coding RNA of Theobroma cacao (cacao), 340 nucleotides long. The record is from RefSeq and is a predicted model, not a curated record. NCBI's taxonomy places the organism in Eukaryota, Viridiplantae, Streptophyta, Magnoliopsida, Malvales, Malvaceae.
AUUCAAGAGAAAAUUGGUGGAUUUCAAGGAAUUAAGCAAGGUGAUGAGUCAUCUAACAAGGGUAAAGACAUUGUGCCAGAGGACCAAGAGUAUGGUAUUUCGAACUCCCGAUAUUGUUCAUGAUAGUCAGUAAAUAGCUGAUUUCGUCAAGGGCUACAGUUGGAUUUGCAUCCUCAAAAAUCAUAGUUUCACAGCCUUCGUUACUUUUGGUCAUUCGGGGAUCCACAUGUCAUUGUAAAUUAAAUUACACACUCUGGCUCACUGUGUUACUGUAUGUACGAAUUUAUUUUGCUUUUACGCUACAAAAAUUAUUUACGGAUAUCUCUAUAAAUAUUAUUUC